This 212-nucleotide unclassified non-coding RNA is filed under the name Glomeraceae sp. RNAcentral's name for it is "partial contains 5.8S ribosomal RNA and internal transcribed spacer 2". The stretch from base 1 to 71 matches the Rfam family "5.8S ribosomal RNA", at positions 84 to 154 of the family's 154-position model. The record is from RNAcentral. Lineage: Eukaryota; Fungi; Glomeromycota; Glomeromycetes; Glomerales; Glomeraceae.
GUGAAUCAUCGAAUCUUUGAACGCAAAUUGCACUCUCUGGUAUUCCGGAGAGUAUGCCUGUUUGAGGGUCAGUUUAAAUAAAAAUCGGUGUGGUUGCUGCCUUUCGUGGUGACGCACCGGAUUGGGUUGUUCUGCCUUUGGUUUAGGGGCCCUAAAUUUUGCAUUGUUUUUUUGAACGUAAUUUAAUGAUUUUUAGGAAGGUUUCCGUUUCG